This 749-nucleotide ribosomal RNA is filed under the name Microbacterium aurantiacum. RNAcentral describes it as "partial 16S ribosomal RNA". It matches the Rfam family "Bacterial small subunit ribosomal RNA", at positions 70 to 833 of the family's 1533-position model. Lineage: Bacteria; Bacillati; Actinomycetota; Actinomycetes; Micrococcales; Microbacteriaceae. The record is from RNAcentral.
GAAGCCAAGCUUGCUUGGUGGAUCAGUGGCGAACGGGUGAGUAACACGUGAGCAACCUGCCCUGGACUCUGGGAUAAGCGCUGGAAACGGCGUCUAAUACUGGAUAUGAGCUCUCAUCGCAUGGUGGGGGUUGGAAAGAUUUUUCGGUCUGGGAUGGGCUCGCGGCCUAUCAGCUUGUUGGUGAGGUAAUGGCUCACCAAGGCGUCGACGGGUAGCCGGCCUGAGAGGGUGACCGGCCACACUGGGACUGAGACACGGCCCAGACUCCUACGGGAGGCAGCAGUGGGGAAUAUUGCACAAUGGGCGGAAGCCUGAUGCAGCAACGCCGCGUGAGGGAUGACGGCCUUCGGGUUGUAAACCUCUUUUAGCAGGGAAGAAGCGAGAGUGACGGUACCUGCAGAAAAAGCGCCGGCUAACUACGUGCCAGCAGCCGCGGUAAUACGUAGGGCGCAAGCGUUAUCCGGAAUUAUUGGGCGUAAAGAGCUCGUAGGCGGUUUGUCGCGUCUGCUGUGAAAUCCCGAGGCUCAACCUCGGGCCUGCAGUGGGUACGGGCAGACUAGAGUGCGGUAGGGGAGAUUGGAAUUCCUGGUGUAGCGGUGGAAUGCGCAGAUAUCAGGAGGAACACCGAUGGCGAAGGCAGAUCUCUGGGCCGUAACUGACGCUGAGGAGCGAAAGGGUGGGGAGCAAACAGGCUUAGAUACCCUGGUAGUCCACCCCGUAAACGUUGGGAACUAGUUGUGGGGACCAUU